Molecule: non-coding RNA, 31 nt
Filed under: Mus musculus (house mouse)
Lineage: Eukaryota; Metazoa; Chordata; Mammalia; Rodentia; Muridae
Source: RNAcentral
UAGGCUCUAGGUAAAUGAAUUUAAUCACUUG